Molecule: ribosomal RNA, 468 nt
Filed under: uncultured bacterium
Lineage: Bacteria
Description: partial 16S ribosomal RNA
Rfam family: Bacterial small subunit ribosomal RNA
Source: RNAcentral
GACGAACGCUGGCGGCGUGCUUAACACAUGCAAGUCGAACGGAAAGGCCCUGCUUUUGUGGCGUGCUCGAGUGGCGAACGGGUGAGUAACACGUGAGUAACCUGCACCUGACUUUGGGAUAAAUCCAGGAAACUGGGGCUAAUACCGGAUAGGAGCUCCUGCUGCAUGGUGGGGGUUGGAAAGUUCCGGCGGUUGGGGAUGGACUCGCGGCUGAUCAGCUUGUUGGUGGGGUAGUGACUUACCAAGGGUUUGACGGGUAGCCGGCCUGAGAGGGUGACCGGCCACAUUGGGCCUACGGUACGGACCAGAAUCGUACGGUAGGCAGCAGGGGGGAAUAUUGCGGAAUGGGCGGAAGCCUGAUGCAGCAACGCCGCGUGCGUGAUGACGGCCUUCUGGUUGUAAACCGCUUUCGACUGUAACGAAGAGUGAGUGACGGUAAUGGGUAAGAAAGCACCGGCUAACUACGUG